UAGAUACCCUGGUAGUCCACGCAGUAAACGAUGAAUGUUAGUCGUCGGGAUGCAAGUCAUUUCGGUGAUGCAGUUAACACAUUAAACAUUCCGCCUGGGGAGUACGGUCGCAAGAUUAAAACUCAAAGGAAUAGACGGGGACCCGCACAAGUGGUGGAGCAUGUGGUUUAAUUCGAAGAUACGCGAAGAACCAUACCUAGCCUUGACAUUGAUAGAAUCUUCCAGAGAUGGAGGAGUGCCUUUCGGGGAACUUGAAAACAGGUGCUGCACGGCUGUCGUCAGCUCGUGUCGUGAGAUGUUGGGUUAAGUCCCGCAACGAGCGCAACCCUCGUCAUUAGUUACUAACAGUUCGGCUGAGGACUCUAAUAAGACUGCCUUCGUAAGGAGGAGGAAGGUGAGGACGACGUCAAGUCAUCAUGGCCCUUACGGCUAGGGCGACACACGUGCUACAAUGGUUAGGACAAUGAGAAGCGAUACCGCGAGGUGGAGCAAAUCUAUAAACCUAAUCUCAGUUCGGAUUGUAGUCUGCAACUCGACUACAUGAAGCUGGAAUCACUAGUAAUCGUAGAUCAGCCAUGCUACGGUGAAUACGUUCCCGGGUCUUGUACUCACCGCCCGUCACACCAUGGGAGUUGAUUUCACCCGAAGCGGGGAAGCUAAACUGGCUACCCUCCACGGUGGAAUUAGCGACUGGGGUGAAGUCGUAACAAGGUA
This 714-nucleotide ribosomal RNA is filed under the name uncultured bacterium. Its description in RNAcentral is "bacterial SSU rRNA". It matches the Rfam family "Bacterial small subunit ribosomal RNA", at positions 779 to 1498 of the family's 1533-position model. The record is from RNAcentral.